UACGGGGGGGGCAAGCGUUGUUCGGAAUUACUGGGCGUAAAGGGCUCGUAGGCGGCCAACUAAGUCAGACGUGAAAUCCCUCGGCUUAACCGGGGAACUGCGUCUGAUACUGGAUGGCUAGAGGUUGGGAGAGGGAUGCGGAAUUCCAGGUGUAGCGGUGAAAUGCGUAGAUAUCUGGAGGAACACCGGUGGCGAAGGCGGCAUCCUGGACCAAUUCUGACGCUGAGACUCGAAAGCAUGGGGAGCAAACAGG
RNAcentral lists this ribosomal RNA (253 nucleotides) under uncultured bacterium. RNAcentral describes it as "partial 16S ribosomal RNA". It matches the Rfam family "Bacterial small subunit ribosomal RNA", at positions 524 to 776 of the family's 1533-position model. The record is from RNAcentral.